GGGCACUGGAGUCUGAGUCAGGAGGAUCAUAAAUUGAAGGCCAGUCUCAGCAACUAAGUGAUGAGAUCCUAAGCAACUUAGCAAGACCCUGUCUCAAAAUAAAAAAAUAAAAUAAAAACUAGGGAUAUAGCUCAGUGGUUUACUUUUUGGUACCAGGGUUCAAUCCCCUGGUACCAAAAAAUAAAAAUACCUUAGAAUGAUUGUAAUUUUUUCAUUAACAUUUGAAUGAUCAUUGUUAAAUAACAUUCACUUUAGGAAAACAAACUCAUCUACAGAUGAAUAAACUAAAUUACAAUGAAAAUGAAAUGAGAACUUUUAUCUAGACUAAAUAACCCACAAGAGGUGAACAUUUUAAGCACCCCCCUCAAAAAAAAAAUACACACAUGCAUGCACUGUAGCUUUGGCAGGAAAUAGUGAACGAAAUUAUGAAAGAGUAAACACUGUUCUUGUGGUAGGGUAUAUUUGCUUAACUGUUAAUUAACUGUGAAGAGGAAUCCACAUUUUCAGAGUAUCAGGGCUAGAGUUCUCUCAGGCAGUACUACUCUUGCCACUUUCUUUCAAGUCCCAGUACAGGUGACAUUAAUAUUUAACUAUCUGAGAAAGUUUUAAAUUUGUAGUAACAAUAAUGGCAUUGAGGGAGAUAUUAGUCAAGGGUACAAAGUUUCAGUUAAACAGGAUGAAUGAGUUCCAGAGAUCUUAGUAACUACAUGGUGACAGUAAUUAAUAGAUAUCACAUACUUUGAAAAUUACAAAGAGAGUAGACCUUAAAUGUUUUAACCACAAAAGAAUAAAUAUGUGAAGGGAUAGACAUUAACUUAUUUUAAUCAUUUCACAAUGUGUAUAUGUAUCAGAAUAUCAAGUUGUACAUUAUAAAUAUAUGCAAUUUUAUUUGUCAAUUAUUCCUUAUUAAAACUGGGGGCAGGGGAGAAAACCAAUGACUCUGUACUUAAAUAAUGAAAGUGAUCUUCACUCAAUUAUCUAUGGUUAUUAAAG
Molecule: long non-coding RNA, 993 nt
Filed under: Marmota monax (woodchuck)
Lineage: Eukaryota; Metazoa; Chordata; Mammalia; Rodentia; Sciuridae
Source: RNAcentral